UCCAAUUGGAGGGGUCAAGGACACCACAAAAAGAUCUACAAAGUUAACUCUCCUAGAUCCAUGGGGGCUCAUAAACACUGAACUACCAAAGAGGAUACACAUGUUUGACCUAGGCCCCUACAUCUUUGAAGCAGAUGUGCAUCUUGGUCUUUCUGUGGGUCUCCUAAGAAUUGAAGCUGACGUUGUCUCUGAUUCUGACUCCCCUUACCUAAACUGGAUUGCCUGGUUGGGCCUCAGUGGAAGAAGAAGCAUUAAGUUCUACAACUCCUCUGGAUAUAAAGAAUCAACAAUCCAUGUGGGCUCUUUAUUCUAAGAAUAUUCAAUCAAGAUUAUCUAGUGCUUUUAAGUAGAGAAUUGCUGGAGAAGGAAUUGAGCAAAAAAUUAGGAACCAAAAUCAUGAGGUAAAUAUGACAAUAGAUUUAAAAGUUAAAUAUUAAAAUAAUUAUCUUUUAUCAU
Mastomys coucha (southern multimammate mouse) is the source of this 456-nucleotide long non-coding RNA. RefSeq lists it as uncharacterized. The record is from RefSeq and is a predicted model, not a curated record. The transcript has 2 exons. Lineage: Eukaryota; Metazoa; Chordata; Mammalia; Rodentia; Muridae.